CNAGCAGCCGCGGUAAUACGUAGGUCCCGAGCGUUNUCCGGAUUUAUUGGGCGUAAAGCGAGCGCAGGCGGUUAGAUAAGUNUGAAGUUAAAGGCUGUGGCUUAACCAUAGUACGCCUUGGAAACUGUUUAACUUGAGUGCAGAAGGGGAGAGUGGAAUUCCAUGUGUAGCGGUGAAAUGCGUAGAUAUAUGGAGGAACACCGGUGGCGAAAGCGGCUCUCUGGUCUGUAACUGACGCUGAGGCUCGAAAGCGUGGGGAGCGAACAGGAUUAGAUACCCUGGUAGUNCACGCCGUAAACGAUGAGUGCUAGGUGUUAGGCCCUUUCCGGGGCUUAGUGCCGCAGCUAACGCAUUAAGCACUCCGCCUGGGGAGUACGACCGCAAGGUUGAAACUCAAAGGAAUUGACGGGGGCCCGCACAAGCGGUGGAGCAUGUGGUUUAAUUCGAAGCAACGCGAAGAACCUUACCAGGUCUUGACAUCCCGAUGCCCGCUCUAGAGAUAGAGUUUUACUUCGGUACAUCGGUGACAGGUGGUGCAUGGUUGUCGUCAGCUCGUGUCGUGAGAUGUUGGGUUAAGUCCCGCAACGAGCGCAACCCUUAUUGUUAGUUGCCAUCAUUCAGUUGGGCACUCUAGCGAGACUGCCGGUAAUAAACCGGAGGAAGGUGGGGAUGACGUCAAAUCAUCAUGCCCCUUAUGACCUGGGCUACACACGUGCUACAAUGGCUGGUACAACGAGUCGCAAGUCGGUGACGGCAAGCUAAUCUCUUAAAGCCAGUCUCAGUUCGGAUUGUAGGCUGCAACUCGCCUACAUGAAGUCGGAAUCGCUAGUAAUCGCGGAUCAGCACGCCGCGGUGAAUACGUUCCCGGGCCUUGUACACACCGCCCGUCACACCACGAGAGUUUGUAACACCCGAAGUCGGUGAGGUAACCUUUUAGGAGC
This 941-nucleotide ribosomal RNA is filed under the name uncultured bacterium. RNAcentral describes it as "bacterial SSU rRNA". It matches the Rfam family "Bacterial small subunit ribosomal RNA", at positions 508 to 1449 of the family's 1533-position model. The record is from RNAcentral.